Molecule: ribosomal RNA, 253 nt
Filed under: uncultured bacterium
Lineage: Bacteria
Description: partial 16S ribosomal RNA
Rfam family: Bacterial small subunit ribosomal RNA
Source: RNAcentral
UACGGAGGGUGCAAGCGUUGUCCGGAAUCACUGGGCGUAAAGGGCGCGUAGGCGGCUCAUGAAGGCUGUGGUGAAAGUCCGGGGCUCAACCUCGGAUCGGCCGUGGCGACUCGUGGGCUGGAGCACUGUAGAGGCGGGUGGAAUUCCGGGUGUAGCGGUGGAAUGCGUAGAGAUCCGGAAGAACACCAGUGGCGAAGGCGGCCCGCUGGGCCUUACCUGACGCUGAGGAGCGAAAGCGUGGGGAGCGAACAGG